RNAcentral lists this unclassified non-coding RNA (306 nucleotides) under plant metagenome. RNAcentral's name for it is "partial contains 5.8S ribosomal RNA, internal transcribed spacer 2, and large subunit ribosomal RNA". The stretch from base 1 to 105 matches the Rfam family "5.8S ribosomal RNA", at positions 50 to 154 of the family's 154-position model. The record is from RNAcentral.
GAAAUGCGAUAAGUAGUGUGAAUUGCAGAAUUCAGUGAAUCAUCGAAUCUUUGAACGCACAUUGCGCCCCUUGGUAUUCCAUGGGGCAUGCCUGUUCGAGCGUCAUCUACACCCUCAAGCUCUGCUUGGUGUUGGGCGUCUUUGUCCCGCCUCCGCGCGCGGACUCGCCCCAAAUUCAUUGGCUGCGGUCCUUGCCUCCUCUCGCGCAGCACAUUGCGCUUCUCGAGGUGUUGCGGCCCGCGUCCAGAAAGCAAUCGUUACCGUCUUUGACCUCGGAUCAGGUAGGGAUACCCGCUGAACUUAAGC